UACGUCUUGCUGGAGAAGCAGGGCACGUGCAACAUCUCUCAAGCUUCCCCUAGCUAAUGAUUCUGCACGUGCUCUCCUUUUCCAGCUUGAUUUU
Molecule: microRNA precursor, 94 nt
Filed under: Phaseolus vulgaris (common bean)
Lineage: Eukaryota; Viridiplantae; Streptophyta; Magnoliopsida; Fabales; Fabaceae
Description: pre miRNA MIR164
Rfam family: MIR164 microRNA precursor family
Source: RNAcentral